Non-coding RNA from Pantherophis guttatus, 1157 nucleotides. The record is from RefSeq and is a predicted model, not a curated record. NCBI's taxonomy places the organism in Eukaryota, Metazoa, Chordata, Lepidosauria, Squamata, Colubridae.
AUGCCCGCGGGUAGUACGGCAUCGGCUCGCGCGAAAGCGUCAGAACCGCGCAUGUGCAAUAAACGAGGCGAGACCCGGAAGUUGAAAGAAAUACGGAGGAAAAAGCCAAUGAGCUGCGCCCGUCCCGGAGAAAGGCGAUGACAGCCACUGCACACGCGUUGACUCGCUCAUGAUUCUUGACUUGCAACCACAAUUGAGCCCAAAAUUUCUGUUGCUAAGUGAGACAUUUGUUAGAUGAAACUCAAAUAUUUUGGUCACCUAAUGAGAAGGAAGGACUCACUGGAGAAGAGCCUAAUGCUGGGAAUGAUUGAGGGCAAAAGAAGAAUGGGACGACAGAGAAUGAGGUGGCUGGAUGGAGUCACUGAAGCGGGCGGCGUGAGAUUAAAUGGACUCCAGAGGAUGGUAGAGGAAAGGAAGGCCUGGAAGAACGUUGUCCAUGAGAUCGCAAUAGGUCAGACACGACUUCGCAACUAACAACAACAACAAAUGCAUUUUGUAUCUUUUUAUAGAAUGUAUACUUGUAUUUUGUUCCUUUUGUUCUUUUUUUUUUUUUUUGUUAUAAUUUUGACAGAAAUCCAUUGCAUUCUGAAUACCGGUAGGUGCAAAACUUAGACAAGAGAUCUUGCUUAUAAGCAUCCUGACAUCAUCUGCUUGGAUCAAUGUAGGAACAGCAUUUUUUCCAAUACAGAUAGUUCUUGACUUAUGACCGGUCACUUAGUAACCAUUUUAAGUUAUGACGAACCCUGAAAAAGUGACUUUGGAUUCAGAGAUCUGAUUUUCCCCCCCCCCAGUCAUGUGACCACAUUUUGGCCGGUCAUUAACUGGCCUGCAUUUACGCCUGUUUGCAGUGUUCUGUGGUCAUGGGACCCCAAUUUAUGAGGUUUUUGUCAGAAAACAGGCAUUUACUUCCAGUUUCUAGAAAAAUUGCCCCAUAGUGAACCCCUGCAUUUGCUUUAUGGCUGCUGCAAAAGGAGUCAUAAAAUUGGUGUCAGAUUUAAUGACCAUCAUGACCUAUGAUCAUAAUUAGAGGCUCAAUUACAAUUUUAAAACAAGGAUUACGCGUAUGAUUUUAUUAAAUAUUAAAACCACUGCAAUUAACAUCACUUGAAAGGCAUUACAUAUAAUUAUGUAAUAUGAUAUUAAAUGGUAUAAUUAUA